RNAcentral lists this ribosomal RNA (595 nucleotides) under uncultured bacterium. RNAcentral describes it as "bacterial SSU rRNA". It matches the Rfam family "Bacterial small subunit ribosomal RNA", at positions 338 to 945 of the family's 1533-position model. The record is from RNAcentral.
CCUACGGGAGGCAGCAGUGGGGAAUUUUCCGCAAUGGGCGAAAGCCUGACGGAGCAACGCCGCGUGAGGGAUGAAGGCCUCUGGGCUGUAAACCUCUUUUAUCAAGGAAGAAGAUCUGACGGUACUUGAUGAAUAAGCCACGGCUAAUUCCGUGCCAGCAGCCGCGGUAAUACGGGAGUGGCAAGCGUUAUCCGGAAUUAUUGGGCGUAAAGCGUCCGCAGGCGGUCUUGUAAGUCUGUCGUUAAAGCGUGGAGCUCAACUCCAUUUCGGCGGUGGAAACUACAAGACUAGAGUGUGGUAGGGGCAGAGGGAAUUCCCGGUGUAGCGGUGAAAUGCGUAGAUAUCGGGAAGAACACCAGUGGCGAAGGCGCUCUGCUGGGCCAUAACUGACGCUCAUGGACGAAAGCUAGGGGAGCGAAAGGGAUUAGAUACCCCUGUAGUCCUAGCCGUAAACGAUGAACACUAGGUGUCGGGGGAAUCGACCCCCUCGGUGUCGUAGCUAACGCGUUAAGUGUUCCGCCUGGGGAGUACGCACGCAAGUGUGAAACUCAAAGGAAUUGACGGCGNGAAGAGUGCGAGCGACGACGAGGAGAGG